Molecule: ribosomal RNA, 462 nt
Filed under: Veillonella parvula
Lineage: Bacteria; Bacillati; Bacillota; Negativicutes; Veillonellales; Veillonellaceae
Description: bacterial SSU rRNA
Rfam family: Bacterial small subunit ribosomal RNA
Source: RNAcentral
GACGAACGCUGGCGGCGUGCUUAACACAUGCAAGUCGAACGAAGAGCGAUGGAAGCUUGCUUCUAUCAAUCUUAGUGGCGAACGGGUGAGUAACGCGUAAUCAACCUGCCCUUCAGAGGGGGACAACAGUUGGAAACGACUGCUAAUACCGCAUACGAUCUAACCUCGGCAUCGAGGAAAGAUGAAAGGUGGCCUCUAUGUAUAAGCUAUCACUGAAGGAGGGGAUUGCGUCUGAUUAGCUAGUUGGAGGGGUAACGGCCCACCAAGGCGAUGAUCAGUAGCCGGUCUGAGAGGAUGAACGGCCACAUUGGGACUGAGACACGGCCCAGACUCCUACGGGAGGCAGCAGUGGGGAAUCUUCCGCAAUGGACGAAAGUCUGACGGAGCAACGCCGCGUAAGUGAUGACGGCCUUCGGGUUGUAAAGCUCUGUUAAUCGGGACGAAAGGCCUUCUUGCGAAUAG